GGGUUGUGAGGUUAAGCGACUAAGCGUACACGGUGGAUGCCCUGGCAGUCAGAGGCGAUGAAGGACGUGCUAAUCUGCGAAAAGCGUCGGUAAGGUGAUAUGAACCGUUAUAACCGGCGAUGUCCGAAUGGGGAAACCCAGUGUGAUUCGUCACACUAUCGUUAACUGAAUACAUAGGUUAACGAGGCGAACCGGGGGAACUGAAACAUCUAAGUACCCCGAGGAAAAGAAAUCAACCGAGAUUCCCCCAGUAGCGGCGAGCGAACGGGGAGCAGCCCAGAGUCUGAAUCAGCUUGUGUGUUAGUGGAACGGUCUGGAAAGUCCGACGGUACAGGGUGAUAGUCCCGUACACCAAAAUGCACAGGCUGUGAACUCGAAGAGUAGGGCGGGACACGUGGUAUCCUGUCUGAAUAUGGGGGGACCAUCCUCCAAGGCUAAAUACUCCUGACUGACCGAUAGUGAACCAGUACCGUGAGGGAAAGGCGAAAAGAACCCCGGCGAGGGGAGUGAAAAAGAACCUGAAACCGUGUACGUACAAGCAGUGGGAGCACCUUCGGGUGUGACUGCGUACCUUUUGUAUAAUGGGUCAGCGACUUAUAUUCUGUAGCAAGGUUAACCGUAUAGGGGAGCCGCAGGGAAACCGAGUCUUAACUGGGCGUUAAGUUGCAGGGUAUAGACCCGAAACCCGGUGAUCUAGCCAUGGGCAGGUUGAAGGUUGGGUAACACUAACUGGAGGACCGAACCGACUAAUGUUGAAAAAUUAGCGGAUGACUUGUGGCUGGGGGUGAAAGGCCAAUCAAACCGGGAGAUAGCUGGUUCUCCCCGAAAGCUAUUUAGGUAGCGCCUCGUGAACUCAUCUUCGGGGGUAGAGCACUGUUUCGGCUAGGGGGUCAUCCCGACUUACCAACCCGAUGCAAACUACGAAUACCGAAGAAUGUUAUCACGGGAGACACACGGCGGGUGCUAACGUCCGUCGUGAAGAGGGAAACAACCCAGACCGCCAGCUAAGGUCCCAAAGUCAUGGUUAAGUGGGAAACGAUGUGGGAAGGCACAGACAGCCAGGAUGUUGGCUUAGAAGCAGCCAUCAUUUAAAGAAAGCGUAAUAGCUCACUGGUCGAGUCGGCCUGCGCGGAAGAUGUAACGGGGCUAAACCAUGCACCGAAGCUGCGGCAGCGACACUAUGUGUUGUUGGGUAGGGGAGCGUUCUGUAAGCCUGCGAAGGUGUGCUGUGAGGCAUGCUGGAGGUAUCAGAAGUGCGAAUGCUGACAUAAGUAACGAUAAAGCGGGUGAAAAGCCCGCUCGCCGGAAGACCAAGGGUUCCUGUCCAACGUUAAUCGGGGCAGGGUGAGUCGACCCCUAAGGCGAGGCCGAAAGGCGUAGUCGAUGGGAAACAGGUUAAUAUUCCUGUACUUGGUGUUACUGCGAAGGGGGGACGGAGAAGGCUAUGUUAGCCGGGCGACGGUUGUCCCGGUUUAAGCAUGUAGGCUGGUU
This 1491-nucleotide ribosomal RNA is filed under the name Klebsiella pneumoniae. RNAcentral describes it as "bacterial LSU rRNA". It matches the Rfam family "Bacterial large subunit ribosomal RNA", at positions 1 to 1530 of the family's 2925-position model. The record is from RNAcentral. Lineage: Bacteria; Pseudomonadati; Pseudomonadota; Gammaproteobacteria; Enterobacterales; Enterobacteriaceae.